AUGGGUAACCAUCUGUGGGCUAUAAUAGGAGAUUUCAAUGAGAUUUUGUAUGCAAGUGAAAAGGAGGGAGGUAAUCCUCGACCGAACAAUAUGAUGCAAGCUUUCCGGGACUGCUUGGUGGAGUGUGGACUGGAGGACAUGGGCUAUACUGGAGACUUGUACACUUGGAGGAGAGGAGAGAUUAGGGAAAGAUUAGACCGGGCAGUGUGUAACUCACAGUGGUCUACCAAAUUUUCAAAAGGGGCGUUAAUCAAUGAGAGUCAUGUCCAUUCGGAUCAUAGGCCAAUUAUACUUGACACCGAGUACCAGGAGGCUGUUCAAUUUAGCAAGAUGACAGGAGGCCGAAAGUUUGAAGCUAAGUGGUUAAAGGAGGAAACAAUGGAAGAGAUUGUGAAUACAGCAUGGAAUCGGGACAAACUUGCUGGCUUGGGUCCAUCGUUAGCCGACCGAACUCGUGCUGUCAAAUCAGAUCUUCAUCAAUGGGAUAAGGAGGUGUUACAGGGGCCAAAGAGAAGGAUCAAAAAGUUGAAAACGGAAUUGGAAAAUCUUCGUUGUGGAUUGAAUAAUGCUGACAAUAGAGCUAGGCAGAACGAAAUCCGUGUUUUGCUUGAAAACUUACUGGACCAGGAGGAAAUCUAUGGCUCCAAAGAGGGCGCACCAACUGGCUGUUACAUGGUGACCGAAACUCUAACUUUUUCCAUAAUGCAGCCACUGCGAGGAAGAAAAGGAAUCACAUUAGAAAAUUGUUGGAUGACACUAGAGUAUGGCAUCAAGGUACAGAAGAUCUAA
RNAcentral lists this ribosomal RNA (789 nucleotides) under Triticum aestivum (bread wheat). RNAcentral describes it as "partial small subunit ribosomal RNA". The record is from RNAcentral. Lineage: Eukaryota; Viridiplantae; Streptophyta; Magnoliopsida; Poales; Poaceae.